CCGAGUUAUACAACUCAUCAACCCUGUGAACAUACCUAUACGUUGCCUCGGCGGGAUGACCAGUUGACGCACCGUGGACACAGGCCGCCCCGCCAGGAGGACCCCCUAACUCUGUUUCUAUUAUGUUAUCUUCUGAGUAAACAAGCAAAUAAAUUA
RNAcentral lists this unclassified non-coding RNA (156 nucleotides) under soil metagenome. RNAcentral's name for it is "partial internal transcribed spacer 1". The record is from RNAcentral.